Ancylostoma duodenale is the source of this 70-nucleotide non-coding RNA. The record is from the annotation of a GenBank genome assembly. Lineage: Eukaryota; Metazoa; Nematoda; Chromadorea; Rhabditida; Ancylostomatidae.
UCGAUCAUGGCGCAGCGGCAGCGUGCGCUGCUAUCGCACGUUGGGGUCGGGGGUUCGAUACCUGAGCGAG